CCCUUAGAUGUUCUGGGCUGCACGCGCGCUACACUGAUAUACUCAACGAGUUUACGACCUUGCCCGAUAGGGUUGGGUAAUCUUUUUAAAAUGCAUCGUGAUGGGGAUAGAUUAUUGCAAUUAUUAAUCUUCAACGAGGAAUUCCUAGUAAGCGCGAGUCAUCAGCUCGUGCUGAUUACGUCCCUGCCCUUUGUACACACCGCCCGUCGCUCCUACCGAUUGAGUGCUCAGGUGAAUAAUUCGGACUGCAGCAAUGUUUGGAUCCCGAACGUUGCAGCGGAAAGUUUAGUGAACCUUAUCACUUAGAGGAAGGAGAAGUCGUAACA
RNAcentral lists this ribosomal RNA (326 nucleotides) under uncultured eukaryote. RNAcentral's name for it is "partial 18S ribosomal RNA". It matches the Rfam family "Eukaryotic small subunit ribosomal RNA", at positions 1470 to 1796 of the family's 1831-position model. The record is from RNAcentral.